This 564-nucleotide ribosomal RNA is filed under the name uncultured Glomeromycotina. Its description in RNAcentral is "SSU rRNA". It matches the Rfam family "Eukaryotic small subunit ribosomal RNA", at positions 548 to 1114 of the family's 1831-position model. Lineage: Eukaryota; Fungi; Glomeromycota. The record is from RNAcentral.
UUGGAGGGCAAGUCUGGUGCCAGCAGCCGCGGUAAUUCCAGCUCCAAUAGCGUAUAUUAAAGUUGUUGCAGUUAAAAAGCUCGUAGUUGAAUUUCGGGAUCAGAUUGUCGGUCGUGCCUCGGUACGCACUGGCAUUAUUGGUUCCUACCUUCUGAAGAACCGCGAUGUCAUUAAUUUGGUGUCGUGGGGAAUCAGGACUGUUACUUUGAAAAAAUUAGAGUGUUUAAAGCAGGCGCACGCUUGAAUACAUUAGCAUGGAAUAAUGAAAUAGGACGUUUGAUUCCAUUUUGUUGGUUUCUAGGAUCGACGUAAUGAUUAAUAGGGAUAGUUGGGGGCAUUAGUAUUCAAUUGUCAGAGGUGAAAUUCUUGGAUUUAUUGAAGACUAACUACUGCGAAAGCAUUUGCCAAGGAUGUUUUCAUUAAUCAAGAACGAAAGUUAGGGGAUCGAAGACGAUCAGAUACCGUCGUAGUCUUAAUCAUAAACUAUGCCGACUAGGGAUCGGAUGAUGUUGAUUUUUUAAUGACUCAUUCGGCGCCUUACGGGAAACCAAAGUGUUUGGGUUC